This 435-nucleotide ribosomal RNA is filed under the name uncultured bacterium. RNAcentral describes it as "partial 16S ribosomal RNA". It matches the Rfam family "Bacterial small subunit ribosomal RNA", at positions 29 to 507 of the family's 1533-position model. The record is from RNAcentral.
AACGAACGCUGGCGGCAUGCCUAACACAUGCAAGUCGAACGAUUGCCUUCGGGUGAUAGUGGCGCACGGGUGCGUAACGCGUGGGAAUCUGCCCUUAGGUUCGGAAUAACAGCUGGAAACGGCUGCUAAUACUGGAUGAUUUCGCGAGAUCAAAGAUUUAUCGCCUGAGGAUGAGCCCGCGUUGGAUUAGGUAGUUGGUGGGGUAAAGGCCUACCAAGCCGACGAUCCAUAGCUGGUCUGAGAGGAUGAUCAGCCACACUGGGACUGAGACACGGCCCAGACUCCUACGGGAGGCAGCAGUGGGGAAUAUUGGACAAUGGGCGCAAGCCUGAUCCAGCAAUGCCGCGUGAGUGAUGAAGGCCCUAGGGUUGUAAAGCUCUUUUACCCGGGAAGAUAAUGACUGUACCGGGAGAAUAAGCCCCGGCUAACUCCGUG